Molecule: ribosomal RNA, 435 nt
Filed under: uncultured bacterium
Lineage: Bacteria
Description: bacterial SSU rRNA
Rfam family: Bacterial small subunit ribosomal RNA
Source: RNAcentral
ACUCCUACGGGAGGCAGCAGUGGGGAAUAUUGCACAAUGGGGGAAGCCCUGAUGCAGCCAUGCCGCGUGUGUGAAGAAGGCCCUCGGGUUGUAAAGCACUUUCAGUAGGGAGGAAGGUAGUGUAGUUAACACCUGCACUAUUUGACGUUACCUACAGAAGAAGCACCGGCUAACUCCGUGCCAGCAGCCGCGGUAAUACGGAGGGUGCGAGCGUUAAUCGGAAUUACUGGGCGUAAAGCGCAUGCAGGCGGCCUGUUAAGUCAGAUGUGAAAGCCCGGGGGCUUAACCUCGGAAUUGCAUUUGAAACUGGCAGGCUAGAGUCUUGUAGAGGGGGUAGAAUUUCAGGUGUAGCGGUGAAAUGCGUAGAGAUCUGAAGGAAUACCAGUGGCGAAGGCGGCCCCCUGGACAAAGACUGACGCUCAGAUGCGAAAGCGU